RNAcentral lists this transfer RNA (72 nucleotides) under Ovis aries (sheep). It matches the Rfam family "tRNA". From Rfam's summary of the family: Transfer RNA (tRNA) molecules are approximately 80 nucleotides in length. Their secondary structure includes four short double-helical elements and three loops (D, anti-codon, and T loops). The record is from Rfam by way of RNAcentral. Lineage: Eukaryota; Metazoa; Chordata; Mammalia; Artiodactyla; Bovidae.
UCCCCGGUGGCUCAGAUGGUAAAGAAUCUGCCUGCAAUGCAGGAGACCUGGGUUUGAUCCCUGGGUGGGGAA